This is a long non-coding RNA of Neofelis nebulosa (Clouded leopard), 1784 nucleotides long. RefSeq lists it as uncharacterized. Lineage: Eukaryota; Metazoa; Chordata; Mammalia; Carnivora; Felidae. The record is from RefSeq and is a predicted model, not a curated record. The transcript is spliced from 3 exons.
AGAGCCUGCUUUAGACCCUGUAGCCCCCUCUCUCUCUGCCCUUCUUCCAUGUUCAAUCUCUCUCUCUCUCAAAAAUAAACAAAAAAAAAAGUAAAUGAAUCGUGUUACCCACUGUAUGACAGGCAACUCUUCUAGGCAUGAGGAAUAGAGAAAUUAAGGAAUCCUUGCUCCACAGGGCUCACUGUCUGGUCUUGGAAAUAAUGCAACUGAGCAAACUUAAUUUGAGUACACUGUGAUGAAAAAGCCCCCUCUAUAAUCGGACUCUGGACGUGAAGCCACCUGGGAUAGAAGUCAACAGGGUAAUCAGAGCAGGCUUCGUGGUGGAGGUGAUACUUGAGUGGAACCUUGAAGGAUAAGCAGGAGUUUGGGGAAGGGGAAGAUGCCAGGUCAACCCCCUGAGGGCAGCACCAGGUGCCCACCUGGCCCCGUGAGGCAGUACUCCCCAAGUGUUGGCUGAGCCCUGGCAGGGCAAUGAAUGAAGAGCUGGGCAGAGCCUUGAAUGCCAAGCUCAAGAGUUUGGGCUUUACUGUAAGGGAAGCUGGGAGCAGGGGGAAGGUCUCAAGCAGGGGAAUGUCAUGCCCAAAUAAAGGUCACAGAAAACAGACUGGAGGUGACUAAAUGGGAGGCUGGGGGCUCAACUGGGGGCCUGGAGCAGUCUAGGAGGAGGCAGGAAGGAAAUGCAAGUGGGAAAUGUUUCCUAAGCAUCUGUAAAAUGGGACAAUACUAGCACUUCUUCGUAGGGUCGUUGUCAGAGUAAAAGUGCACCUGAUAAUUGCUAAAACCCCGGGCAAACAUUUCUGCAGCUCUUGCUAUGUGCCAGGCACCGUUCCAAGCAGUUUACAUGUGUUAAGUCACCGAAACUUCACAAGAGCUCUGUGAGAUUGACAUUGUUAUUUCCAUUUUACAGAUGGAAAAACGGAGGUCAAGACAUGAAGUGACCUGCCCAGGGUCAGCCAUGGCAAAGCCAGGAACUGAGCCCAUGCAGACAGGAUCACGUAUGCGGAACAUCCAGCACUCUGCCACAGCACUCACGUCGGAGGCAAAGAGAAAGAAGGCGGUCGGAGAGACGCCUCCUUACCCAGGACACCAAGGCUCUACAAUGUCUGAAGUGAAGAGAUUACUGCCCCAUUUUCCGGAUGAGCACACUGAGGCUCUGCGAGGGAAGACUCUUGCCCAAGGUCCAGGAAGGUGACCCCAGCUAAGCCUCUAUAUUUUCCUCACUGGUUGGUGGUUUGGACUUGGGUCCUUGAAGGUCCGACUGGCAGGGGUCUGUCUUGGGAGGUAGGUGUACCUGGAGGGCAGCGGAAACAGAGAAGCCCACGAGGCCGGCGCUAAGGUGGGCCUUGCUCAGCACAGCACACAUGGCGGCUGCCAACACCAGCACGUUCCCCAGGAGCUCCAGGUUGGUAGCCAGCCACCUGCAAGGAGAGGCAGCUAAUUUCAGUUGGUCUCCAGCUCUGGCAACUGAAAGAGUCAAGCCUAAUACAACACUUGGAGACCUUGCAAUGCCUCCUUGGUUUCUAGAUAAUUGGAGAACGGGAAGCUGAUUUCAGCAGCAGCAGGACAAAAUGUAAGAUAUUAAGAACUUAGACACGGACAUUCGGGAGAGAGUGUUGAGUAUAGAUGUUAGAAGUCAACUGUGGUGUCUCUGCCUCUGGGAAUUCUUCUAGGGGUUCUUCCACUGUGCAGAGCCUCUUAUGCUGAAUCCUGUCCAGAGACAAGAGACUGGCUGAGGUGACCCGAGCUGGCCCCAGGGGCCUCCCCAAUCUCUCCAUACCUGAAAC